GAGUCUGCAACUCGACUCCGUGAAGUCGGAAUCGCUAGUAAUCGUGGAUCAGAAUGCCACGGUGAAUACGUUCCCGGGCCUUGUACACACCGCCCGUCACACCAUGGGAGUGGGCUGCACCAGAAGUAGAUAGCUUAACCUUCGGGAGGGCGUUUACCACGGUGUGGUUCAUGACUGGGGUGAAGUCGUAACAAGGUAGCCCUAGGGGAACCUGGGGCUGGAUCUCCUCCUUACAAAAAAGA
RNAcentral lists this ribosomal RNA (242 nucleotides) under Photobacterium damselae. RNAcentral describes it as "partial 16S ribosomal RNA". It matches the Rfam family "Bacterial small subunit ribosomal RNA", at positions 1301 to 1533 of the family's 1533-position model. Lineage: Bacteria; Pseudomonadati; Pseudomonadota; Gammaproteobacteria; Vibrionales; Vibrionaceae. The record is from RNAcentral.